Molecule: ribosomal RNA, 1349 nt
Filed under: Cylindrospermopsis raciborskii LMECYA 130
Lineage: Bacteria; Bacillati; Cyanobacteriota; Cyanophyceae; Nostocales; Aphanizomenonaceae
Description: bacterial SSU rRNA
Rfam family: Bacterial small subunit ribosomal RNA
Source: RNAcentral
AAGUCGAACGGGAUGCUUAGGCAUCUAGUGGCGGACGGGUGAGUAACGCGUGAGAAUCUGGCUCCAGGUCGGGGAUAACAGUUGGAAACGACUGCUAAUACCGGAUGUGCCGAGAGGUGAAAGAUUUAUUGCCUGGAGAUGAGCUCGCGUCUGAUUAGCUAGUUGGUGGUGUAAGGGACCACCAAGGCGUCGAUCAGUAGCUGGUCUGAGAGGAUGAUCAGCCACACUGGGACUGAGACACGGCCCAGACUCCUACGGGAGGCAGCAGUGGGGAAUUUUCCGCAAUGGGCGAAAGCCUGACGGAGCAAUACCGCGUGAGGGAGGAAGGCUCUUGGGUCGUAAACCUCUUUUCUCAAGGAAGAAGAAAGUGACGGUACUUGAGGAAUAAGCAUCGGCUAACUCCGUGCCAGCAGCCGCGGUAAUACGGAGGAUGCAAGCGUUAUCCGGAAUGAUUGGGCGUAAAGGGUCUGCAGGUGGAACUGAAAGUCUGCUGUUAAAGAGUUUGGCUUAACCAAAUAAAAGCGGUGGAAACUACAGAACUAGAGUGCGGUAGGGGCAAAAGGAAUUCCUGGUGUAGCGGUGAAAUGCGUAGAUAUCAGGAAGAACACCGGUGGCGAAAGCGUUUUGCUAGACCGUAACUGACACUGAGGGACGAAAGCUAGGGGAGCGAAUGGGAUUAGAUACCCCAGUAGUCCUAGCCGUAAACGAUGGAUACUAGGCGUGGCUUGUAUCGACCCGAGCCGUGCCGGAGCUAACGCGUUAAGUAUCCCGCCUGGGGAGUACGCACGCAAGUGUGAAACUCAAAGGAAUUGACGGGGGCCCGCACAAGCGGUGGAGUAUGUGGUUUAAUUCGAUGCAACGCGAAGAACCUUACCAAGACUUGACAUCCUGCGAAUCCUGGUGAAAGCUGGGAGUGCCUUAGGGAGCGCAGAGACAGGUGGUGCAUGGCUGUCGUCAGCUCGUGUCGUGAGAUGUUGGGUUAAGUCCCGCAACGAGCGCAACCCUCGUUUUUAGUUGCCAGCAUUAAGUUGGGCACUCUAGAGAGACUGCCGGUGACAAACCGGAGGAAGGUGAGGAUGACGUCAAGUCAGCAUGCCCCUUACGUCUUGGGCUACACACGUACUACAAUGCUACGGACAGAGGGCAGCGAGCCAGGGAUGGCAAGCGAAUCCAGAAACCGUAGCUCAGUUCAGAUCGAAGGCUGCAACUCGCCUUCGUGAAGGAGGAAUCGCUAGUAAUUGCAGGUCAGCAUACUGCAGUGAAUUCGUUCCCGGGCCUUGUACACACCGCCCGUCACACCAUGGAAGUUGGUCACGCCCGAAGUCAUUACCCCAACCGAAAGGAGGGGG